Non-coding RNA from Chloroflexi bacterium 13_1_20CM_54_36, 171 nucleotides. Lineage: Bacteria; Bacillati; Chloroflexota. The record is from Rfam.
CUCGCCGCGAGGCGAGGCCUGAAAGAAGCGCGGAGCAAAGGCGCGAGCCGAUGUACAAGAACCGGAUCUGAGGCCUACGGUGGCGGGCGAGCGGGCAAAUGAUCGCGAAGCCCAUAUCCAUCAAGCUCACUGGUGGUAAAUCCGGCGGUUGCGUGUCGAAGGCGGUCGAAC